Molecule: transfer RNA, 72 nt
Filed under: Camelus bactrianus (Bactrian camel)
Lineage: Eukaryota; Metazoa; Chordata; Mammalia; Artiodactyla; Camelidae
Also listed under: 2 other names
Rfam family: tRNA
About the family: Transfer RNA (tRNA) molecules are approximately 80 nucleotides in length. Their secondary structure includes four short double-helical elements and three loops (D, anti-codon, and T loops).
Source: Rfam by way of RNAcentral
GAGGGUAUAGCUCAGUGGUAAAGCGUUUGUUUAGCGUGCACGAGGUCCUGGGUUUAGUCCCCAGUACCUCCA